RNAcentral lists this ribosomal RNA (1334 nucleotides) under human gut metagenome. Its description in RNAcentral is "bacterial LSU rRNA". It matches the Rfam family "Bacterial large subunit ribosomal RNA", at positions 1235 to 2548 of the family's 2925-position model. The record is from RNAcentral.
AGCUUCCCAUGGGCGGAGAAGCCGGAGGGCGACCGACGGUGGAGCGCAUGGGAGUGAGAAUGCUGGCAUGAGUAGCGAGAGACGAGAGAGUAACUCGUCCGCCGUGAACCCGAGGUUUCCUGGGCAAGGCUAAUCCUCCCAGGGUCAGUCGGGGGCUAAGGCGAGGCCGGGAGGCGUAGCCGACGCGCAGCAGGCAGACAUUCCUGCACCGCGCACGCGGCGCUACGACCGACGGGGCGACGGAUGGGGGUGGCUCGGCGGGGUUCUGGACGUCCCCGUGAUGGAGCGCGGCCCGCGGACCAGGGAAAUCCGGUCCGCACGAGGGCGAGGCUCCGGACGAAGCACUUAAGCGAAGCGAGUGAGCCCGAGGUCCCUAGAAAAACCCCUAGGCAGGCGCGUGCGCGCCCGUACCGCAAACCGACACAGGUGGGUGGGUAGAACAUACCGAGGCGAUCGGGUCAACCAUGGUCAAGGAACUCGGCACAAUGGCCCCGUAACUUCGGGAGAAGGGGUGCCCGCGCGUACGUGAACCGGCUCGCCCGGGGAGCGGAGGCGGGCCGCAGUGGAGAGGCCCAAGCGACUGUUUACCAAAAACACAGGACUCUGCAGAAGCCGCAAGGCGACGUAUAGGGUCUGACGCCUGCCCGGUGCCGGAAGGUCACGCGGAGGAGUUAGCCGAUUCGGCGAAGCCCCGAAGCCAAGCCCCGGUAAACGGCGGCCGUAACUAUAACGGUCCUAAGGUAGCGAAAUUCCUUGUCGGGUAAGUUCCGACCUGCACGAAAGGCGCAACGACUUGGGCGCUGUCUCGACCAUGGACCCGGUGAAAUUGCACUGGUCGUGAAGAUGCGACUUACCCGCGGAAGGACGGAAAGACCCCGUGAACCUUCACUGCAGCUUGGCAUUGGCCGCUGGUCCCGCGUGUAGAGGAUAGGCAGGAGGCACAGAUCCGGAGGCGCCAGCCCCCGGGGAGCCGCCCUUGGAAUACUGCCCUCGCGCGACCGGCGUCCUAACCCGAGGCCGUCAACCGGCUCGGGGACCGUGCCAGGCGGGCAGUUUGACUGGGGCGGUCGCCUCCUAAAGGGUAACGGAGGCGCGCGAAGGUCCGCUCGGGACGGUCGGCAACCGUCCUUUUGAAUGCAAGAGUACAAGCGGGCUUGACUGCGAGGCCCACAAGCCGAGCAGGUGCGAAAGCAGGCUCUAGUGAUCCGGCGGCCCCGAGUGGGUGGGCCGUCGCUCAACGGAUAAAAGGUACUCCGGGGAUAACAGGCUGAUCUUGCCCAAGAGUCCACAUCGACGGCAAGGUUUGGCACCUCGAUGUCGGCUCAUCGCAUCCU